RNAcentral lists this ribosomal RNA (654 nucleotides) under uncultured archaeon. RNAcentral's name for it is "bacterial SSU rRNA". It matches the Rfam family "Archaeal small subunit ribosomal RNA", at positions 508 to 1160 of the family's 1478-position model. The record is from RNAcentral.
GCCUAAAGCGUCCGUAGCCUGUUCUAUAAGUUUCCGGUUAAAUCCACUAGCUCAACUAGUGGGCUGCCGAAAAUACUGUAGAACUAGGGAGUGGGAGAGGUAGACGGUAUUCGGUAGGAAGGGGUAAAAUCCUUUGAUCUAUUGAGGACCACCUGUGGCGAAGGCGGUCUACCAGAACACGUUCGACGGUGAGGGAUGAAAGCUGGGGGAGCAAACCGGAUUAGAUACCCGGGUAGUCCCAGCCGUAAACGAUGCAGACUCGGUGAUGCGCUGGCUUGUGGCCAGUGCAGUGCCGCAGGGAGGCCGUUAAGUUUGCCGCCUGGGAAGUACGUACGCAAGUAUGAAACUUAAAGGAAUUGGCGGGGGAGCACCACAAGGGGUGAAGCCUGCGGUUCAAUUGGAGUCAACGCCAGAAAUCUUACCCGAAGAGACAGCAGAAUGAAGGUCAAGCUGGAGACUUUACCAGACAAGCUGAGAAGUGGUGCAUGGCCGUCGCCAGCUCGUGCCGUGAGAUGUCCUGUUAAGUCAGGUAACGAGCGAGAUCCCUGCCUCUAGUUGCCACCAUUACUCUCAGGAGUAGUGGGGCGAAUUAGCGGGACCGCCGCAGUUAAUGCGGAGGAAGGAAGGGGCCACGGCAGGUCAGUAUGCCCCGAA